Long non-coding RNA from Gossypium raimondii (Peruvian cotton), 6822 nucleotides. RefSeq lists it as uncharacterized. The record is from RefSeq and is a predicted model, not a curated record. The transcript has 3 exons. NCBI's taxonomy places the organism in Eukaryota, Viridiplantae, Streptophyta, Magnoliopsida, Malvales, Malvaceae.
CUAGAUUGGUACCCAAACUUUUUUUUCCGUCCACUAUAUUGGUACCUGAGCCUAACGCCGUUAGUUUUUUGCUGACAUGGCAAUACUGGCCAAUCGUAUGCCAUCACGUGACGUUCUCUUGUACCUUUUUUUAUUUUUCAUUUCCCUUCUUUUCUUUUUUUUCUUCUUUUUAUUUUUAUUUUCCCUACCUCUAUCUUCUUCACUCUUCUUCAUCUUUCUUGGUUUUUUUCUACAAAAAAUCUUUGUUUUCAAUUUUUUCUGCCUCUUUCCCGAUAACUAAACAUUUUUUUUCUUUUUCCUAAUGAAAAUGUCAUUAGGGCACAAAAUUUCGAGGAAUCCGGCCGCUUUCCUUUAUUCUCUCAUGAGCAAAAGAGAAAAGCUUCAAGACGAGCUUCACAAUAUCGAAAAGUAGGUAAUAGUUUUCCUGCUUUCCUAUGGAAAAUUUUGCUCUUUCUUUUCCCUCUUUUAUGUGUAUAUAUAUUGGUAAAGAAGCUACAAAUGCGAUGAAUUUUACAAUUAAAAUUAAAUUUUGAGUUAAAAACUAAUUAUUUACAAGAUUCGAGCCAUUUCAGGCAUGUUUUGAAAGGAUUUGAAGGGUUUUUUUCUUCAUCCAAGAACACAACAAAGUAAUUAUUAUUUUUUAUUAACCCAUAUUUUAUUAACUGUUGGUAAUUUUAUAUAUGAAUUUAUUUUGAAUCAUUUAAAAGCCAAGAAAAAAACCCAAGAAUCUGGCGUCGGUUCUUCAUUGUAGUUGGCCCUGAAAUUGGGAGAUGAAGAAGAAUGAAUAAGAAAGAUGAAGAAGACAGAGGUAGGGAAAAGAACAAGAAAAAAACGACAGAGGUAGCGGGUGUCGAUUCAUCUAAUCCACCCUUGAUCACUUUUAGAUCAGACUUUGAAUCCCAAUCAAUCUUUACCACUUGAUUCUUUCUUAACGUUUUUGAUUACUCUGUUUUUUUUUUUGGUUUUUCUAGGUCAUAUUUUGUUGAGAUUUUUGCUUUUGCCUUGUGGGUUUUAUUUGUUUGUUUGAACAAACAAAUUAAAUGGGAAAACUAAAGAAAGAAAAGUCUGCCAAGUUGAUAAGCAUAGCAAAUAUAGAGAAAGACGUACCCAAGCUGAACAACAGUGAAGCUCCUACUGAAUGUAGCAGACGACUGUGAAUGGUGAACAGUAGCGAAUGACAGUGAUAUUUUACGGUUUUAAGAAAUUUGUGUCAUCCGUCAAGGAUGUUUUGGGUGAAUGGGUAGGGAAAAUGAAAAAAGAAAAGAAAAAGAGUUACAAGAGGACACCAUGUGGCAGCGUGUGAUUGGCUAGUGUUGUUGUUGGAAAUUAUAGAUUGCAAAUUCAUUAUUCAUGAACACUUAUUAAAUUAGAAAGUGAUGAUUUAUUCAUCCAAUGGAUAAAUUUAAAUUCCAUGGGACAUGUUUCUUCUAAGAAGAAUGUCCAACACGAAGGGUUGUGGCUCCUCAAUAGUGUCCAUUUAGUGCAUAUAAAUAGAGGGACUAUGGUGCUCACAAUAAUCAUUACAAUCAAUCCAAUUUUAGAAAUUAGAGUAGGAGUUAGGGAAUUCCUUGAAUUUGCUAAUCAAAGGAAAUAAAAAACCUUAGUUGUAUCCUGAGAGGACUUUUGUCUUAACCCUCUAGCAACUUUGUUUGGGGGCAAAUUGUUCUCUUUGGAAAGCGUCACCCAUGCCUUGAAGUCUACUGUUUAAUUAAAUAUCGUUUUCAUAUCUAUCUUCUCUAUUCAAAUACCCCAACAAUCAAAGAGAAAAAUUUUGGAAAUGGCGACGGAGGUAACCAUUGCAUUCAAAAUGAUGAACCAAGAGUUUGUGAAACUUGACCGAUUUGCUGGCUCAAACUUCAAUCGCUGGAAGGAUAAGGUGUUGUUCCUUCUUACCGUCUUGAAUGGGGCAUAUGUUCUAAACCCAAACCUACAACUCAUGGAGGAUCCCAACCCCAAUGCAAACCCUGAGGAAAUUGCGAAAGUGGCCGAACUCAAGAAGAAGCGCGAGGAAGACAAUUUCACAUGUUGUGGGCACAUCCUCAACACUUAGUCCGAUCGAUUGUAUGAUUUCUACAUGUCAAUGCAAUCUCUGGUGGAAAUAUGAAAAGCUCUUGAAGAGAAAUACAACAUCGAGCAACAAGGUUGUGAUAAAUUUUUAAUGAUGAAGUAUUUCGAAUUCAAAAUGCUCGAUAAUAUCCCGAUCAUGGAUCAAGCCCAUGAACUACAAGUCCUUGUAAACAGGCUUUGUGACCUGAAAGUUGUUAUUCUGGAAUUGUUACAAGUCGGGGCUAUCAUCUCAAAGUUGCCCUCGUCUUGGAAAAGUUAUCGAAAGAAACUUUUGUAUUUGGCAGAGGACUUCACUCUGGAGAAAAUACUUAGGCAUUUACAUAUUAAAGAGGAAACUCGAAAGCAUGAUGAGGUGCAUCUUUCCCAAAGUUCUAAAGUGAACCACGUGAGCGAGUCCAAGAACUCUCGAAAUAGUAAGCAAAAGGCCGCAUUUGAAACCAAGUACAUGCAAGACAAGAAGAAAAAAAUCUCAGAAUUGUUACAACUGCAAUUAGAAAGGACACUAAAUUAAGAAUUGUAAACUUCUAAAAAAGAAGCAAGAUGCCAAAAAUUUCAAAGCCAAAAUGGUGGAGGACAUAGACUUAGUGGCCAUGGUUAUGGAAGGGAUCGAGAGUUUAGAGAUUGGUAUGAUUACCGAACUCAACAUAGCCAUGAAAAAUAAGUCCUAUAAUUGGUGGCUCGACACCAGAGCUACUUUUCAUAUGUGUAAUGACUGACAACAAUUAAAGAGUUAUGAACUAGUGGCAAACCAUGAAGUGAUUAUGGGUAACUAUUAAUUAGUUAAGGUGCUCGGUCAAUGGAUGAUGAAACACAACUUCACAUCCAGGAAGUUGAACUUGAUCAAUGUGUUGUAUAUUCCCGAUAUGAGAAAUAAUUUAGUGUCUACGAGUCUUCUGUGUAACAAGGGGUUCAAGGUUAUCUUAGAAUCUGAUAAGUUAGUGUUCCUUAAGUGUAACAACUCGUUUUCAGUGAAAUCAAAAUAGUAGUUUUGGGAUCACAAAUCUGACCUCAAAAAAUUUAUUUUAUUAUUAUUUUAAUGUCUACAACAUGUUAGUAGUGUCGUAUAAAAAUUUUAUGAAGAAAUUUUAUCGUUUGCAUGCUUAAUUUGAUAAAAAGGAUUAAAUUGCAAAAGGUGCAAAACUUGAGUUCUAUAAGCUAAAGGGAUUAAAUAGCUUUAAAAACUAAAAGGUUGGAGGGUUUAUGUUGUAAUUAAACCAUUCAUAAUAUGGGUGGACAAGUAUGGACACUUUUUAAGUGAUUUUCAAGGUUAUUAAUUAAGGUUAAUUUAGUAAUUUAAUAAAUACAAAAUAGUAAAAUGAUUAAAACAAAUAUAUCAUCUUUGUUCUUUCUUCUCUACCACCGAUUUUCAACCACAAGAAAAGCCAUAUUUGAAGCUUCAAGGUUCAACCAUAGCUCAUCUUUGCAUGUGAGUGAUACUUUGUCUUGUUUUUAAUGAUUUCUAUGUUUUUAGAGUCGUUGUAGCUUAAUCUAGCUAGCCCGGGGAUUAAUUUGAAAAAUUGUUAAAAGUUUAAGGUUUUACCAUUAAUGUAUAUUGGUUGGUUUUUAUGUUUGAUGGAUGAAAAUGAAUAUUUGAUGAUAGUUGAGCAACUUUUGUAAAGGAAUUUUUGAUGAAUUUGUCAUUUAAGUAUUUAAUUAAAAAAGGCAUAAUUGCAAAAAAACCCUCAAUGUUUGGGGCUUUUGGUUUUGUGCCCUUGACCUUUUUAUUUUUUUGUUUGACACCCUCAACAUUACGAUUUUUUAAGAAAUCAACCCAAUUUUAACGGUCAACGUGAGUUGACAAUUAAUCAAACUGUAGGUCAACAUAAUAGCCCAUGUGGCAUGCCACAAAAGCGCACGACGUCAUAGAUGAGGCCAUCUAUUUAACAAAAUUUUUGAUCUCAUUUUCUCUCUUGUCAAACACCACUUCUUUUCUUCAAAACACAUGGUUGCUGCCAUUUUUUUCUCUCAUUUUUUCUCUUGCCAAACACCAUUUUUCUUCUUCAAAACAUAUGGUUGGCUCAUUUCAUCUACAAGAAUCUCCAUUACAUAAGCACGCACCAAAAUCCACAAUCCAGGUCAAUCAAAAACUCAAAUUUCACUACAAAAACUAUCUCUACCAAAAUCAAAAGACUAACUCUAGAUUUAGGAAUUUGAGAAAGGGUUUGAAGGUUUUCAACUAAUCUAUCGAACAUAACACGAAACAACAACGAAAAAGGUGGAUCCCAUGGAAGAAUAAAAAAAAUGUACGAGCUUUCUAAACCUUUAAGAUUGGAUCUAAUUAGUGUUUCUUCUAGUAUUUAAAAAUUCAAUAUUUCAUCAAAUCCAAUAAGAGAAAUUUAUAAAAAUAUACUAUCCAAAGCUAUAUAAAAAUAGCAGAAAAAACAAAUGGGGUGAAAAAGAAAAGGAAAAAAACCUAGAAAGAAAACCAAACGCUUACUAAAAGAAGGAAAAGAUUAAAGCAAGUAAACUUUAAAAGAAAAAUGAAGAGCAUGAGACAACUUACAACUAUGAACAAAUCAGGGAAAAAGAAGAACAAAGAAAAAACCCAAAACCCCAAAUUGAUAAAAGAAAAGAACCAAAUUCAAAUUGCUUCAAUCCUUAAACAACUUGAGAAUGUGAAACACUGGGAAAAUGGAGUUUUAGAGUCAAAAGAUGGAAAUUUAUGUAAAGCACAAAAGCUAUGAUUAAGAUUAUUUAUAAAGAAAACUAGAUUGUCACACAAAAAAUAAUAAAAAUUAUAUUAAAGAAAAUUAAAGAUUAAAAAAACAAAAGCAAGAAAAAAGAGAGAGAUUGAUUAAACGUUUUAUACGUGCGUGCGUGCGUGAGAUUCUUGUAGAUGAAAUGAGCCAACCAUAUGUUUUGAAGAAGAAAAAUGGUGUUUGGAAAGAGAGAAAAUGAGAGAAAAAAAAUGGCAGCAACCAUGUUUUUUGAAGAAAAAAGUGGUGUUUGGCAAGAGAGAAAAUGAGAGAAAAAUUUUUGUUAAAUAGAUGACAUCAUUUAUGACGUCGUGUGCUUAUGUGGCAUGCCAUAUGGGCUAUUAUGUUGACCUACAAUUUGAUUAAUGGUCAACUCACGUUGAUCAUUAAAAUUGGGCUGAUUUCUUAAAAGAUCGUAAUGUUGAGGGUGUCAAUCAAAAAGUAAAAAGGUCAAGGGCACAAAACCAAAAGCCCCCGCCAUUGAAAAAUAGAAAAGUGUUCAUGGAAAAAAUAUGAAAUAAAUGGAAUAUAGGGCUUGUUAGGGACUAAAUUAAUAUUCGGCUAGUAUGAGUUUGGACUAAAUUGCAUGAAUUUACAUUUUUAUGAGCUAGGGACUAAAUUGAAAUGAAUUCAAAAUUUUAAGGGCAAAAGUGUAAUUUUUCCAAAUUAUGAUUUUUGGAUUAAAUUGAAUAGAGUGAAAAUUGAAUGAGCUAAAUUUGAUUAUAUAGAUCAAGAAAAGCAACGUACGGAUUUAGAUCGGGGAAAAGAAAAAGUAUUGGAUUAAUCAAUCGUAUUUCUCCGUUCGUGUUUGAAGUAAGUUCAUUAAUUUAAAUAGCAUUAAAUCAUGUACAAUUUAAAUGAUUUUAUGUUAUAUAUAUUGAUAUUACGACUCUAUAGAAAUAUCCAACGAAAUUUUGGUGACUUUCGGAUCCUGUUUGAAUAUCAGGAAUAUAUAGUAUACAAAUGACAUGUCAUUAGGGGUUACUGUGUUUUGGGUGCUGGUCCUGUAUGUCCUAUCGGUGGCUGAGUUUUCGGCAUGUGUUGUGGUUACUUGACAGCUUGUGUGAGUAGCAUCGUAUAGCUACGUCUUGACUGACAGCUUGUGUGAGCAGACCCAUUUAUGGCUCGAGAGAAAGAGAGCAUGUAUAUGAGAUAUGAGAUAGUAGUGGUUUCGACCACAUGUUGGCAUAUAGUGUGUGAGAUUCUUGAGUAUUCGAUAUUAUUCUAGUGGUUCAACGGGUAUACAAAAGGGAAGGAGCAGUAUAUGAUUCAAUUCAUAAUGUCAUGUAAGCAUGAGAAAGGUAUGAGAUGAUAGUGACUAAAGAUUUCUUGUAUGUUCGUAAUAGUAUGAAUGUUUGAAUGGGAAGUAUAUGGAAGCCCUUUGUUGUGUAAUGAAUUUUACUAAGUUUUGUACUAAUCACUAAUGUGAAUUGUUGUUGGUGCUUAGGCUUGUGCCAAGCUAUGUUGGAUAUGUUCAUAAAUUGCCUUUAAUCUUUUAUAAUGAAAUGGUAAGCGUUGUUUAUGAUUUAUGAACUUACUAAGCAAUUUAUGCUUACUUUGUGUGUUUUCUCUCAUGUUAUAGAUAAUCAGAAGCUCGUUUGGGUUGAAAGCUUGUCGGAGAUCCAUCACACUAUCCAUCGGCUAAAUUGGCAGAGACACGGGUGUGUAUCUCAACCGUGUGUGACACACGGCCAGGUGACACGGGCUUGUGUCCCCUGUAACUUUAAAAGGGUUGCAAGUCAGGCUAUUACACGGCCUAGCACACGGCCUGGCACACGAGCGUGUGAAAUUAUUUCAAAAGAUUAGUUGUGUGCCAGUGUGAGUGGUGCGGUUCCCAAAGGGUGUUCCAAGCAAGUCUUUGUGUUACUUUGUAGGUGCUUAUUAUCUGUUUGUUUAUGUAUCGGGAAUAAGACAAUGUGUUAGACUAUAUGCUAGUUUUUGCUAUGACUUUUAAUUUGUUUACAUGAUUAUUUUGCCUUAGGACUUAUGGACUUUACAUUUGAAUUAUUGGUUUCUUGCUUAGUCAUGAUUAUGAAGUUUUGGAUUGUUAUUUCAGACA